AUCCAUCUGGCGAGUCCCAAAUAGGACGAAAUGCGCAUCCUGACUGGAU
Trichobilharzia regenti is the source of this 49-nucleotide non-coding RNA. The record is from Rfam. NCBI's taxonomy places the organism in Eukaryota, Metazoa, Platyhelminthes, Trematoda, Strigeidida, Schistosomatidae.